CUACGGGACGCUGCAGUGAGGAAUAUUGCGCAAUGGGGGGAACCCUGACGCAGCAACGCCGCGUGAGUGAUGAAGGCUUUCGGGUCGUAAAGCUCUGUCAAGUGGGAAGAACCUAUGCAGUGUUAAUAUCACUGUAUACUGACGGUACCACUGAAGGAAGCACCGGCUAACUCCGUGCCAGCAGCCGCGGUAAUACGGGGGGUGCAAGCGUUAUUCGGAAUCAUUGGGCGUAAAGGGCACGUAGGCGGCUUGGUAAGUCAGAUGUGAAAGCCCGGGGCUUAACCCCGGAAGUGCAUUUGAUACUGUCAGGCUUGAGUAUGGGAGAGGGAAGUGGAAUUCCUGGUGUAGAGGUGAAAUUCGUAGAUAUCAGGAGGAACACCGGUGGCGAAGGCGACUUCCUGGACCAAUACUGACGCUGAGGUGCGAAGGCGUGGGUAGCAAACAGGAUUAGAUACCCCCGUAGUC
RNAcentral lists this ribosomal RNA (465 nucleotides) under uncultured bacterium. RNAcentral describes it as "partial 16S ribosomal RNA". It matches the Rfam family "Bacterial small subunit ribosomal RNA", at positions 339 to 795 of the family's 1533-position model. The record is from RNAcentral.